UUUCUACUCCCUCCGUCCCAAAAUUCUUGUCUUAACUUUAUUUAGAAAUGAAUAUAGUUUAGACAAGAAUUUUGGGACGGAGGGAGUACUAU
RNAcentral lists this microRNA precursor (92 nucleotides) under Hordeum vulgare. RNAcentral describes it as "microRNA MIR1122". It matches the Rfam family "MIR1120/MIR1122 microRNA precursor family". The record is from RNAcentral. Lineage: Eukaryota; Viridiplantae; Streptophyta; Magnoliopsida; Poales; Poaceae.